CCUACGGGUGGCUGCAGUGGGGAAUAUUGCACAAUGGGCGCAAGCCUGAUGCAGCCAUGCCGCGUGUGUGAAGAAGGCCUUCGGGUUGUAAAGCACUUUCAGCGGGGAGGAAGGCGGUGAGGUUAAUAACCUCAUCGAUUGACGUUACCCGCAGAAGAAGCACCGGCUAACUCCGUGCCAGCAGCCGCGGUAAUACGGAGGGUGCAAGCGUUAAUCGGAAUUACUGGGCGUAAAGCGCACGCAGGCGGUCUGUCAAGUCGGAUGUGAAAUCCCCGGGCUCAACCUGGGAACUGCAUUCGAAACUGGCAGGCUAGAGUCUUGUAGAGGGGGGUAGAAUUCCAGGUGUAGUGGUGAAAUGCGUAGAGAUCUGGAGGAAUACCGGUGGCGAAGGCGGCCCCCUGGACAAAGACUGACGCUCAGGUGCGAAAGCGUGGGGAGCAAACAGGAUUAGAUACCCUAGUAGUC
Molecule: ribosomal RNA, 465 nt
Filed under: uncultured Klebsiella sp.
Lineage: Bacteria; Pseudomonadati; Pseudomonadota; Gammaproteobacteria; Enterobacterales; Enterobacteriaceae
Description: bacterial SSU rRNA
Rfam family: Bacterial small subunit ribosomal RNA
Source: RNAcentral